This is a long non-coding RNA of Carassius auratus (goldfish), 2395 nucleotides long. RefSeq lists it as uncharacterized. NCBI's taxonomy places the organism in Eukaryota, Metazoa, Chordata, Actinopteri, Cypriniformes, Cyprinidae. The record is from RefSeq and is a predicted model, not a curated record. The transcript has 6 exons.
AACGUCAUUCCAGAAGCCACUGAGACUACCGUCACUCCAGAAGCCACUGAGACCACCGUCAUUCCAGAAGCCACUGAGACCACAGGCUCAUCAAAAGACACAAGACCCCGGGGCCAGAAGGCAAAAAAAAGACAAAAUCCAGUCCAACAGAGGGUAGCCAGCAAUAUGAAGCCAAAAAAAAAGUAUGAGUGUCCAGAAUGCUGUUGGAGAGUGAGGCAAAACAACUUUGACUACUCCAAGGUUUUGAAAAGAAGAGUGAGAGAGGGAACAGAGGAGGUCCUCAUUUGUUGGGUUCCAUGCAAGACCUGUGGGACCAAAUGGAAAGACUCCUGGGAGCCCUCCUCCCUUCUUGAAUAAUGAAUUACAUUUUUAUUUUUAUUUUGUAUUUUCUUUUAUAAUGAAUAAAAUAACUACAAACAUAAACAAAGUUAUUGACUUGUUAUUCAUUGCCUAAAUUGCAUAUGCUAUAUAGAGUACACACAGAUCUUUAUAAAUAACCUAAUUAAAAAUCCUCUGUUUAUUGUCAGUUUUGUUUGAAUAACUGUUAUAUCUACGUCUGUACGUCUGUUAUGUUCUCACGUGUUUGUCUGUGUAUGUAGUUAUAUAUGUACUGUCUAUAUAUUGGUUGUAAGCAGGAUUUCUUGUAACUUGGUGGAUGGGUAGGACAUGGUACAGGAAGAAACCUAUUAUAUUUUGUGGCUGUUAAAAUUUUAGAUUAAUAAAAUUUGAUGUAGUUGGAGAUAUUUGCUCUACUUUAUGCCUUUAAUGUUCAGGUUUGUGUCCUUCUGUCCAGAUGACAUUGAGCGGAGAACAUCAUGAUGGUGCUGGUUCCACCCCAGGGCAGGAAGUAGAACAGUAGUUGGCAUGCCGUGUAGAUGUACUAUCAUUAUCUGCCUCUGUAAUUGGAUAGAAGACCAGUAGUAGUUGUCUUUUGAUCCAUUAUUCAUUGGCAAUGCAAUAAUUAUGCAUUCAAAGCAUCAAAUUGAUUUAAUAUUGGCAUAUAAUUAUAAAUAGAUUUAAAUACAUUAGAAAGAGAACUGUUUCAAUUUCCAAGAAACAAAUGUUACUUGUUUUACACAAGCUGAACAGGAUUAAACAAAAUAACCUGUAUUAUGAAAAUCAGGUGAUCAGAGAACAAAUAUAAAAUAAUGGUUCAUACACUAAUAAUAAUUAUCUUGUCUUUUUAGACUUCUAAAGCUAUACAGAUCCACUUUGGGAACUGGAAACCCUUAAAGCUCACCUUCACCUGGAAAUGAGAGAAUGGGUAUAUGUCUACAGGUCUCGGUGACUUGACAGAGGAUGCUACCUAUGGGCUCAACAGUCUCAUCAAUCGGAGGUCACUCAGAAGUCAACACAGACAGACUGUAAAUGCAAACAGCAGUAUAGGCGCUUUCGAUUACAUUGAGGACAGGACCAGUGCACUGAAGAUGUGUACUAAAUAAACCUGCCUUGCUUUUAUAUCAAACAGCGCUUUUUAUGAAGGGAUUUACAGUAUAAGGGAAUUUUCAUCAGAAACCCAACUGUUAGAAAAUAGUGCACUUUGAUUUUUACAUUUCAAACCAAAGCUACUAAGUGUUUUCACCCAUAGCUUAGAGAUAAUAAAGAGCCACAUAUCUUCAGGAAAGUAUUGACAAUAUAAAUAAUGGCACUUUGCUAAAAAGUUCAGAUUAUGUAUUGUUAUUAGAAACAAGGACAACAUACUAACUAUGGGUAAAGGUCUUUUCCUUUCCAGCACUUUUAUACAAUGUCAAUUAUAUCAUAAAAGUUUUUAAGAUAUAUUUACCUGCCUUAAUUCUUAAAUUCAAAACUCAAAAAUGAAAGAAGAUAUCAGCAAAAACUGAAAUUGUACUAUUCUUAUGAAUAUUUGCAUUUAUUUGUCUCUUAUUUUUCUGACAACAAAAACAGAAAAGCUGCUGUUUCUCCUGACUGACAUCACCAAGUAGCGGAUUAAUAAUGUUAAAAGUAAUUUUGCAUGUUAUUACAAUGCAUUACCGGUAUUUUGCUUUAAAUAAAUCAUUGUUAUUUUUUGCAUGUAAAAAAUCUGAUGAAGUACAAUAAUUACAAUGUACUUUACUUCAAUAUUUCCAUAUUAUACUUUGUGUAUGUAUGUAAGCUAUGUAUGCAAUAUGUAUAUACUGUUUGUAGUUUCAGCAUACUUGUUAGUGAACACCAUCAAAUCGAUAUUAAACCAUACAUGUUUUUCUGUUAUGCUUUCCAUAUCGCAUCAUCUAAAUGUACAUCAAUAUAGUCAUAAAUCAUAUCCACUUUAGCUGACAUUCUGUAAAACUGUAUGGAGAAAUAUCUUUCUUUGUCUUGAUGCAUACAUAUGUGCAAUACUGUAAUAAAAACAAUUAUGUUUUUUGCUUGUUGAAUGAACUUCCCAUUAAAGUACCAU